GAUAAACAGCUGAUUGGCAUGAUCAGCUGUUUGCCGUGCUUUUAUUUUUCCAUAUUUCUUAACUAUUAAUAAACUAUUAAUGUAUAAUUGUUUCAUUUUAUAUAAAAGACCAAAAUUAGCAUUUAAAAUGGGUCUACACUGGCAAAAUGUGUGAGAAUAAAAGAAUUUAAACAUCGUCAUUUCAAAAAUUUCUAAAAGAUAGUGAGAGAAAAAUUAAAUGGUUUUCUCUGUUAGGAUUUAUUCAUAGCAUAAUAUUAAAAAGUCGAGCAAAAGAGAACUCAAGAACAGCUGAUUUUUUUAUAAGGAAUUGAAGAAAAUAUUUAAAAUCUGAUGAUUUUCACAGCCAUUUAUGUCGCGAUUUGUGGUCUUUCAGUUGUUUCAACAUCACCUAGGAAAUUAACAUUAAGAUAUCAGGAUCCUGCAUAUAACGAGAUAAGAACUAUGAUCUUGUUAGGAUACCUAUUCCGUCACAAUAUGAAGUGAAGAUAUUCAUGGUGUGGAAGUCGUUACUUUAAUUACAUAGUGCAUAUGAAAUUGGUCCUUUACAUCAUGUUUAAAAUUGACGUAAUGCUACUAUGCAAAAUAGUGAGAGAUGUGAACCCUAGGCAGAGCUACAGAAUUACUUUUGUUGAGAGACAAAUUAUGAUAGUGAUUAGAAUCGCAUAUUCUAGACUUUUACUUAAAAAAUGAUUUGUUCGGAAUGAACUUUUAUAGUGUGGAGGAAUACCUGCAAAUUAUAAUAUGAGGCCUACGUAUAUGAUAAUUUUAUUAUGAUCUGUUGUGUUUGUUUUUUUAUAUUUUGUAUUAUAUAUUUGUGUUAGCUUUAAGAAUUUAUUGACUAUUCCUAUACAAUUGUACAUUGUUUUAUGGAAAUAAAUAAAUGAUUGAUUGAUUGAAUAAGUUAGGAAACCAUACGAUCGAGAAAAAAACGGCUUCAAAGGCGACUGGGGAAUGAAAAUAUGAUAAUUUCAGUGAGGUCAAGCCCUAGAAGUCAUUUUCUUGGCUCGUACUAUUUUUUAAAGGCGCUCUAAGGUUGUAAUUUAUUUUUACAUUAAGUAAAUAUGAUUUUUAAAUGGUGUAGUUUAAGAUUGACCUCGCUAAAUUAUCAAUCGUCAUUCCUCAGCCGCCUUUGACGCCGUUUUUUUUAGACUAUUUGCUAUAACUAUGUUAUCUGUUAUGCAAAUACAUAUGUCAACAAGUAAAAAGCCAAUGAGAAAUUAGUUUCUGCUUGGAUCCUUACAGUGGCAUUUAACAAAAUAUAUAUUUUUUCAGGUUACAAUAUUUUAUUUAAU
Molecule: long non-coding RNA, 1292 nt
Organism: Sitophilus oryzae (rice weevil)
Lineage: Eukaryota; Metazoa; Arthropoda; Insecta; Coleoptera; Curculionidae
Exons: 3
Source: RefSeq, a predicted model, not a curated record